AGAUUGAACGCUGGCGGCAUGCCUUACACAUGCAAGUCGAACGGCAGCACGGGAGCAAUCCUGGUGGCGAGUGGCGAACGGGUGAGUAAUACAUCGGAACGUGCCCAAUCGUGGGGGAUAACGCAGCGAAAGCUGUGCUAAUACCGCAUAAGAUCUACGGAUGAAAGCAGGGGAUCGCAAGACCUUGCGCGAAUGGAGCGGCCGAUGGCAGAUUAGGUAGUUGGUGAGGUAAAGGCUCACCAAGCCUUCGAUCUGUAGCUGGUCUGAGAGGACGACCAGCCACACUGGACUGAGACACGGCCAGACUCCUACGGGAGCAGCGAGUGGGGAAUUUUGGACAAGUGGGACGAAAGCUGAUCCAGCCAUCGCCGCGUGCAGG
This 379-nucleotide ribosomal RNA is filed under the name uncultured soil bacterium. RNAcentral's name for it is "bacterial SSU rRNA". It matches the Rfam family "Bacterial small subunit ribosomal RNA", at positions 26 to 407 of the family's 1533-position model. The record is from RNAcentral.